RNAcentral lists this ribosomal RNA (253 nucleotides) under uncultured bacterium. Its description in RNAcentral is "partial 16S ribosomal RNA". It matches the Rfam family "Bacterial small subunit ribosomal RNA", at positions 524 to 776 of the family's 1533-position model. RNAcentral also lists the same sequence under 1 other name. The record is from RNAcentral.
UACGGAGGAUCCAAGCGUUAUCCGGAUUUAUUGGGUUUAAAGGGUGCGUAGGCGGCCUAUUAAGUCAGGGGUGAAAGACGGUAGCUCAACUAUCGCAGUGCCUUUGAUACUGAUGGGCUUGAAUACACUAGAGGUAGGCGGAAUGAGACAAGUAGCGGUGAAAUGCAUAGAUAUGUCUCAGAACACCGAUUGCGAAGGCAGCUUACUAUGGUGCAAUUGACGCUGAGGCACGAAAGCGUGGGGAUCAAACAGG